GUGAAGUUUUGUGGGGCUGGAGCUGUCCAUGGAUGGCUCUGAUCAAAAGCCAUCACCUCAAGGUUCCAAGAGAACAUGACUCCUAGGUCCCUCCAUAAAGCUCAGAAUAAAGAGCUUCUCUGCUGACCCACCUCUGGUUGGUUCUACCCCAGAAGGGACUCCUAACUUUUCCAUAAAUCCUGCUCCACCAUCAAUAUUUGGCCCCCAGGUCCUUUCAACUCUGUGCCUGCAAAGGUGUGUUCUUCCUGCUCGGAUAAAUGCUGCACCUGAGCAAGACUUAGACAUUUUUAGGAUUCAAGCCAAGGGAUACGUUGGGCAGGGCAUAUAUUACAGUUGAGGGAAAAGCAAAACAAGUGUCUAAAGUUUUUAGGGGAGAGAAAAGAUUAAUUUGAUUGUAGGCCUAUUUCUAAGUCAGGUUCUCUGGGCCCCAGCAUCCUGUUUACUUCCAGUAAUAUCUGUCUGAACCCUCUUAGGUCCAGAUGGUCUCUCAAUUGUAGUCAUGGAGUAUAGAGUACAUGAAGGGAUGUAGUGAUCUGAAAAUGUGGACAUCUUGUUUAAUCUCCUAGGAAGCUGUGGUAAAGGUAACAAGGACACACACCCUUCUUUUGAGGAGGUCUUUUCCCCUUCCAUAAAACAUGCCUUUUGUUUACUUCCUUUUCAUCCUAAUCCAGGUAAAUGAGAAAUCCAGGAUGCACAUCCUGCUAGUUAUUUAUGGUCCAAUUAUUAAAUGGGGGUGGAGCUGAGGUUGGAGUUUUUCCUAUACCUCAUCUGCACAUGCUCAGUAAGAAGAGAAGAUUGACUUGGGAAAUCACUCCUGCUUGGAAUUUUGAGGUGCCAGGUCCCAGAAGCAGUUAGUUAUGGGACAUGCUGCCAGUUGUAUUUGAUGAAAGGUUGAGUGCUUCGCCCUAAGGAACAUUGGGAACUUAUUUGCAGCAUCUGAAACAUAAAUAGCCAUCUGUGUGGGAGGAAAACAACCAAACAUGAUUGAGGAGACUCAAAAGUUUAAGGACACCAAGCAGAAAAUCAAUCCAUUUAAUUGGGUUAAUCUAAUGAAGAAAACAUGAAACCAACCUAUUUACCAACCAACACAUUGAAGGGGAAUCAUGCUGGAGAAAAAGUCCCAAGCCCACAAAAAGAUUGUAAGGAAAAAAGCCCUGGUGACAUAGGGGCCAUCCAUGCUGGUGAGAAUGGAAUUAUAACAGGGCAUUUUUGUGCAGUUCUAUGUUUUCUUUCUUUCCCACCAUCCUUUUUCCUCCCCUUCCCUCUCAGUUUCUUUUUGGCUAUAGAUACACACAGCAAGCCUCAUGAAAUGCACAAGAAUGAAAAGAAGGCAGCUAUACUUGCAGGUGGAUUCUUCUGUUUGGAAAGGUGGUCACGUGUGUACUUUUGGUUUAAAACCUCUCUUUCCUCACACACACAGAAUAAAUCCCCACCUGCUUCAGUGAGCAUGACCUUCUAUAAUUGGCUUGGUGAAAACUUCCUGGGUGACAUUGGCUAGAUUUUCUGCCACAUUCAAAUUCAUAUUUUUCUACUUUCAAGCAUGGGAGGUAAGAAACUGGAUAUGAACUGGUGCUCUGCCUUGAGGAUUGCCCUAAUCUCAGAUUUUAAUUCUUUUCUCACAUGUUUGUCAUGACAUUUCAGUGAUUUCAUUUCUUCAUAUGUUUAUCCUUGCCCCUUCUUGAUGACUUAUA
RNAcentral lists this long non-coding RNA (1691 nucleotides) under Marmota monax (woodchuck). Lineage: Eukaryota; Metazoa; Chordata; Mammalia; Rodentia; Sciuridae. The record is from RNAcentral.